RNAcentral lists this ribosomal RNA (279 nucleotides) under uncultured bacterium. RNAcentral describes it as "partial 16S ribosomal RNA". It matches the Rfam family "Bacterial small subunit ribosomal RNA", at positions 506 to 784 of the family's 1533-position model. The record is from RNAcentral.
UGCCAGCCGCCGCGGUAACACGGAGAGUGCAAGCGUUGUUCGGAAUUAUUGGGCUUAAAGGGCGUGUAGGCGGAGUGUCAGGUGUUGUGUGAAAGCCCCGGGCUCAACCCGGGAAUGGCAUGGCAAACCGGCACUCUUGAGGCAGGUAGAGGUGACUGGAACGACUGGUGGAGCGGUGAAAUGCGUAGAUAUCAGUUGGAACGCCAGAGGCGAAAGCGAGUCGCUGGACCUGUCCUGACGCUGAGACGCGAAAGCGUGGGGAGCGAAGAGGAUUAGAUA